RNAcentral lists this ribosomal RNA (247 nucleotides) under uncultured Oligella sp. Its description in RNAcentral is "partial 16S ribosomal RNA". It matches the Rfam family "Bacterial small subunit ribosomal RNA", at positions 796 to 1041 of the family's 1533-position model. The record is from RNAcentral. Lineage: Bacteria; Pseudomonadati; Pseudomonadota; Betaproteobacteria; Burkholderiales; Alcaligenaceae.
CACGCCCUAAACGAUGUCAACUAGCUGUUGGGAGGGUUACCUCUUAGUAGCGCAGCUAACGCGUGAAGUUGACCGCCUGGGGACUACGGUCGCAAGACUAAAACUCAAAGGAAUUGACGGGGACCCGCACAAGCGGUGGAUGAUGUGGAUUAAUUCGAUGCAACGCGAAAAACCUUACCUACCCUUGACAUGCCCGGAAGCGUUAAGAGAUUAACGUGUGCUCGCAAGAGAACCGGAGCACAGGUGC